This 424-nucleotide ribosomal RNA is filed under the name uncultured bacterium. Its description in RNAcentral is "partial 16S ribosomal RNA". It matches the Rfam family "Bacterial small subunit ribosomal RNA", at positions 360 to 776 of the family's 1533-position model. The record is from RNAcentral.
AAUAUUGGACAAUGGGCGAAAGCCUGAUCCAGCCAUGCCGCGUGUGUGAAGUAGGUCUUCGGUUUGUAAAGUACUUUACGUCGGGAGGAAGGGUUGUAGGUUAAUACCCUGCAAUUUUGACGUUACCAACAGAAUAAGUACCGGCUAACUCCGUGCCAUCAGCCGCGGUAAUACGAAGGGUGCAAGCGUUAAUAGGAAUUACUUGGCGUAAAGCGCGCGUAGGUGGUUCGUUAAUUUGGAAGUGAAAGCCCCGGGCUUAACCUGGGAAUUGCUUUCAAAACUGACGGGCUAGAGUACGGUAGAGGGUAGUGGAAUUACCUGUGUAGCGGUGAAAUGCGUAGGUAUAGGAAGGAACAUCAGUGGCGAAGGCGACUACCUGGACUGAUACUGACACUGAGGUGCGAAAGCGUGGGGAGCAAACAGG